GAUGAACGCUGGCGGCGUGCCUAACACAUGCAAGUCGAACGAAGCACUUGAACUCGAAUUCUUCGGAAGGAAGGUUCUCGUGACUGAGUGGCGGACGGUGAGUAACGCGUGGGUAACCUGCCUCAUACAAGGGGAGUAACAGUUAGAAAUAGGCUGCUAAUACCGUAUAAGACCACAGCACCGCAUGGUGCGGUGGUAAAACUACCGGUGGUAUGAGAUGGACCCGCGUCUG
This 232-nucleotide ribosomal RNA is filed under the name uncultured bacterium. RNAcentral's name for it is "partial 16S ribosomal RNA". It matches the Rfam family "Bacterial small subunit ribosomal RNA", at positions 28 to 239 of the family's 1533-position model. The record is from RNAcentral.